Molecule: long non-coding RNA, 139 nt
Organism: Leucoraja erinaceus (little skate)
Lineage: Eukaryota; Metazoa; Chordata; Chondrichthyes; Rajiformes; Rajidae
Exons: 3
Source: RefSeq, a predicted model, not a curated record
GAACAACACCAACAACAUCUUUGACAACUGGCUCAACUGAGUCCACCACCAGUUCCACAACAGAAAUAACUCCAUCAACAUCUGGGACCACCACUACAUCAGAAACGACACCAACAACUGAGACCACAACCAGCACUAC